CUUCAUAUUCUCCCACCUCCCCUAGCUACAGCCCAACGUCUCCUAGCUACAGCCCAACGUCUCCAAGCUACAGUCCAACGUCUCCAAGCUACAGCCCAACAUCCCCGAGUUACAGUCCAACUUCACCUGCUUACAGUCCAACUUCUCCUGCAUACAGCCCAACGUCACCUGCAUACAGCCCUACCUCUCCAUCUUACAGUCCAACUUCACCAUCUUACAGUCCGACAUCGCCUUCUUACAGCCCUACUUCACCCUCCUACAGUCCAACAUCUCCUUCUUACAGCCCUACUUCACCUGCAUACAGCCCUACGUCUCCUGGCUACAGCCCUACAUCUCCAAGCUACAGUCCAACGUCUCCUAGUUACGGUCCGACAUCUCCAAGCUACAACCCUCAGUCUGCUAAAUACAGUCCAUCUCUGGCUUACUCUCCUAGCAAUGCAAGACUAUCACCAGCUAGCCCUUACAGUCCUACAUCUCCAAACUACAG
RNAcentral lists this long non-coding RNA (487 nucleotides) under Brassica napus (rape). RNAcentral describes it as "long non-coding RNA (BNAP_LNC026518)". The record is from RNAcentral. Lineage: Eukaryota; Viridiplantae; Streptophyta; Magnoliopsida; Brassicales; Brassicaceae.